CCUGAACAGCCUCCAGGUGCAGAAUCAUCACUGCUUCGUUUCUGUUCCCAGGCACUUUAUACAGACCAGCACCGUGGCACUUUCAGGGCACACAGGAAUGACUCUGUCAAGACUCUCUCAGUUUCAACUGAAGGAAGACUAAUCCUUUUGGCUGAAACCAAAAGGGAACUUACUGUCUCAUUUCACUAAAAUGGCUAGCUUUCAGGUGCAGCUGGAUCAAGGGGUCCUGAUUCUUUAUGACUCAAUUCGUCUCUGAGGUCAUUUCCUGGAUGUUGAUUCCGUUCUGAGACAAGUUCUCCCAUUGUGGCCACGAGAUAGCUGCUGUGGCUGCAGACAGCACAUCCUCUCUGCUCCAACUCGGGAGCCUCUGCCCCGUGUCCCAUCGAAAAGUGUCAUGGGUUCUCAUUGGUUCUGACUGGGGCACAUACCCACCUGGGUCACUUCAUAUGGCCUGGGGAAUCCAGUGGACUGGCUUAGGACAGGGUCAUGUGCUCCCCUGGGGAGGGAGAUUGAGAGUGGAGCAGGGGUGACAUCCCCACAAGAAUCAGGAUGCAGUUUGCAGGAGAAGAGAAAAUCAGUGCUGGAAAGCCAAAAAAAAGCAACAAGGCAACAUUACUACUGUUCAUAACAACAGUUGUAAGUCACUCUCAGCCUCACACUUGCUGGGUCCUGUGUAUCCCCACCCCACUGGGCUUGAGACCUUCGACAGCGAAGAGGAGUUCUGCUCUGCCAACAGAAAAACCGGAGGCAGCAGGGGAGGGAGGAGCUGGCUGUUCCUCCUCAACCCAAGUCGGCUGCGCCCUGCGCAGGGAGGUUGGCACCUGCGGGCCCGGGGUCUCCGCGGGGAAGCUGGCCCAGGCGCCUGCUCCGGGCAGCUGUGGCCGUAACUCUCCGCCUCAGUCAGCUCGGCUGCUGUGACAGAAUCCCACAGACGGGCGGCUCAGACAUCAGCCGUUCACUCCUCACAGCCCCGGAGGCUGCGGGUCCAGGACCAAGGUGGCCGCCCGCUCCUUGCCUGGUGAGAACCCACUUCCUUGCUGCAUCCUCACUGCAUGUGGGGAGAGAGCAGGCUCCCUGGUGUCUCUUCUUACCGGGACGCUGAGUCCAUCCUGAAUGACGUCCUCGGAGGCCCAUCUCCACAGACAGCCACCCCGGCCACGGGCACCGACAGCCAUCGAUCCGUCAGUCAGGAUUGUAUCUGCAUCUGCGUUUCCCUCGAUGUCUACAUCCAUAUGCGUGUCCGAAUCUGUGUCUUGGCUUUAAACAACCAUUUGCUGACGAUCAUGGAUUCUGUGGGUCAGGAAUUUGACAGGACACAGCAGGGCUGGCUUGUCUCGGCUCCAUGGUGUCGGGGACUCAGCUGGGGAGACCUGGAGGCUGGGGGCACUUAACAGCCAGGACUGGAAUCAUCUGAAGCCUCCUUCACGCGCAGGUGCACACAGAGGGCCAGUUGGAAGCGGCGGAGAGUUAUGCCCUGGACAGACGUGGUCUCAAUGAGGAAAUACCACAGCUCCCUUGUUCUUCAUCCGCGACGAUUUGGAGUAACCUUCUGCACUGUCUCCCGGAGGUCCUCAGUGGGAUUAAGCCCCAGUGGCCCAUAGCAGUGACCUGCUCCUGAAGCACCCCGCUGGCUCCCUUCCCUGCCCUGACUCCCUUCCUGUCUCCCCAAGUGUUUCCUGGGAUCAUCUCCAAAAUCCAUGACUUGCACUUGAAUCCUUGUCUUAGAAAUUGCUUCUGGGGGAGACCAACAAAGACACCCCUCGUGCCUCAGACAGCAGUCGAUGUGACCAGCAGCUGAGGGGUCUGAUUUGGGGAAGGGAUUUACAAAAUUCUCAGACUUUCUUAUCGUCUGCUUGAAUGACAUCCUUAUCGGUCCAGAGCCUGACACAGACCAAGGCAUGUCUUUAAUGCAGGGUAAUCACUUCUCUCCUGUGUUUCUUGUGACUGAGCGUGCUAUUUAUUAGUUUUUCCUUUAUAUUCAGCCAUUGCUCUUGAAAUAAACUCACUGUAUC
This is a long non-coding RNA of Equus caballus (horse), 2012 nucleotides long. The record is from Ensembl. NCBI's taxonomy places the organism in Eukaryota, Metazoa, Chordata, Mammalia, Perissodactyla, Equidae.